UGAUCAUGGCUCAGAUUGAACGCUGGCGGCAUGCCUAACACAUGCAAGUCGAACGGUAACAGGUCUUCGGAUGCUGACGAGUGGCGGACGGGUGAGUAAUGCGUAGGAAUCUGUCUUUUAGUGGGGGACAACCCAGGGAAACUUGGGCUAAUACCGCAUGAGCCCUGAGGGGGAAAGCGGGGGAUCUUCGGACCUCGCGCUAAGAGAGGAGCCUACGUCCGAUUAGCUAGUUGGCGGGGUAAAGGCCCACCAAGGCGACGAUCGGUAGCUGGUCUGAGAGGACGACCAGCCACACUGGGACUGAGACACGGCCCAGACUCCUACGGGAGGAAGCAGUGGGGAAUUUUUCGCAAUGGGGGCAACCCUGACGAAGCAAUGCCGCGUGGAUGAAGAAGGCCUUCGGGUUGUAAAGUCCUUUCGUGGAGGACGAAAAGGUGGGUUCUAAUACAAUCUGCUAUUGACGUGAAUCCAAGAAGAAGCACCGGCUAACUCCGUGCCAGCAGCCGGGGUAAUACGG
Molecule: ribosomal RNA, 517 nt
Filed under: uncultured bacterium
Lineage: Bacteria
Description: bacterial SSU rRNA
Rfam family: Bacterial small subunit ribosomal RNA
Source: RNAcentral